AUCCAACUGACGUGUCCCAAAUAGGAUGAAACACGUAUCAAACUGGAU
This 48-nucleotide non-coding RNA is filed under the name Schistosoma mansoni. The record is from RNAcentral. Lineage: Eukaryota; Metazoa; Platyhelminthes; Trematoda; Strigeidida; Schistosomatidae.